GACGAACGCUGGCGGCGUGCCUAACACAUGCAAGUCGAACGGAGUUAUUUCGACAGAUUCCUUCGGGAUGAAGAUGAUUUAACUUAGUGGCGGACGGGUGCGUAACGCGUAGGCAACCUGCCUCUCACAGAGGGAUAGCCAUUGGAAACGAUGAUUAAAACCUCAUAACGCCGGAGAGAGACAUCUCCCUCCGGCCAAAGAUUUAUCGGUGAGAGAUGGGCCUGCGUCUGAUUAGCUAGUUGGUGGGGUAACGGCUCACCAAGGCGACGAUCAGUAGCCGACCUGAGAGGGUGAUCGGCCACAUUGGAACUGAGACACGGUCCAAACUCCUACGGGAGGCAGCAGUGGGGAAUAUUGCACAAUGGGCGAAAGCCUGAUGCAGCAACGCCGCGUGAAGGAUGAAGGCCUUCGGGUCGUAAACUUCUGUCCUUGGGGAAGAAGAACUGACGGUACCCUUGGAGGAAGCCCCGGCUAACUACGUG
Molecule: ribosomal RNA, 482 nt
Filed under: uncultured bacterium
Lineage: Bacteria
Description: bacterial SSU rRNA
Rfam family: Bacterial small subunit ribosomal RNA
Source: RNAcentral